Molecule: ribosomal RNA, 230 nt
Filed under: uncultured bacterium
Lineage: Bacteria
Description: partial 16S ribosomal RNA
Rfam family: Bacterial small subunit ribosomal RNA
Source: RNAcentral
UGAGUAACCUGCCCUUCACUCUGGGAUAACUCCGGGAAACCGGGGCUAAUACCGGAUAUGAGUCCGAGCGGCAUCACGCGGACUGGAAAGUUUUUCGGCUAAGGAUGGGCUCGCGGCCUAUCAGCUUGUUGGUGGGGUAAAGGCCUACCAAGGCGACGACGGGUAGCCGGCCUGAGAGGGCGACCGGCCACACUGGGACUGAGACACGGCCCAGACUCCUACGGGAGGCA